Non-coding RNA from Glossina austeni, 80 nucleotides. The record is from Rfam. Lineage: Eukaryota; Metazoa; Arthropoda; Insecta; Diptera; Glossinidae.
AGGGGUAGUUUUUAAUACGUAGAAAUCGUAUUUGCUGCUACUAAGGACCAGCAGUAUCUUUUGAAGAUUUUCUAAUUCCU